AGAGUUUGAUCAUGGCUCAGGACGAACGCUGACGGUGUGCUUUAGGCAUGCAAGUCGAACGAGAAAGCCCUUCGGGGUGAGUAGAGUGGCGAACGGGUGAGUAACACGUGGGCAACCUGCCCCUCGCAGGGGGAUAACCGGAGGAAACUCCGGCUAAUACCCCGUAAGCUUUCAGGGUCGCAUGGCCCUGAAAGGAAAGGUAGCUUCGGCCAUCCGGCGAGGGAUGGGCCCGCGGUGCAUUAGCUAGUUGGUGGGGUAAAGGCCCACCAAGGCGACGAUGCGUAGCUGGUCUGAGAGGAUGAUCAGCCACACUGGGACUGAGACACGGCCCAGACUCCUACGGGAGGCAGCAGCCAGGAAUCUUGGGCAAUGGGCGAAAGCCUGACCCAGCAACACCGUGUGGGCGAUGAAGGCCUUCGGGUCGUAAAGCCCUGUUGAUAGGGACGAAGGGCGAAGGGUUAAUAGCCCCUAGCCUGACGGUACCUUUCGAGGAAGCCCCGGCUAUCUACGUGCCAGCAGCGGCGGUAAUAC
This 531-nucleotide ribosomal RNA is filed under the name uncultured bacterium. RNAcentral describes it as "bacterial SSU rRNA". It matches the Rfam family "Bacterial small subunit ribosomal RNA", at positions 8 to 526 of the family's 1533-position model. The record is from RNAcentral.